CAAAUCCCAGCUCCGCCAGUUGUCAUCUGUGUGACUUUGGGGUGACUAUUCACGCACGCGGGAAAUGGGGGUGAGCCGAGCCGGAUCGCGACUCCUGGGGGUCGUGGACCCGACCCUCCAGCUCCCGGGCUGAAAAAAGGUGUAACGCCUGCUCCUGGACCUGGACAAGAGACAGCAGAUGAGAAUGUCAUCCUCGCAUUCCCGAGAGCCUUGAGGUGCUGGCUAGAGUGUGUGGAAGUACACCCCUCUGGUUGGGUGCUGCGUGCAGGAAGACGAGGGCCGAUGGAUCCGGUUCUGAGAUUCCUCUGAUGACCCGGGGUGGCCAGCAGGCAGAUGCCAGGGAAGCGGGUUUGACUCAUCAUGAGUGAACUGAAGGUUUCAACUGGUGCCAGAAUUUCCAAAGACUUUAUUUGAACAACACAACCACUGUCUGACUCCACCCCACCGCCCCCAAUAAAAAACUACUGCACCAAAGA
Tachyglossus aculeatus (Australian echidna) is the source of this 476-nucleotide long non-coding RNA. RefSeq lists it as uncharacterized. Lineage: Eukaryota; Metazoa; Chordata; Mammalia; Monotremata; Tachyglossidae. The transcript is spliced from 5 exons. The record is from RefSeq and is a predicted model, not a curated record.